This is a non-coding RNA of Paramuricea clavata, 2036 nucleotides long. NCBI's taxonomy places the organism in Eukaryota, Metazoa, Cnidaria, Anthozoa, Malacalcyonacea, Plexauridae. The record is from the annotation of a GenBank genome assembly.
ACUACGGCUACCUAAGAAAUCAAUCCUUGCUGUUACAGUGCUUUCAUCAGCAAGAAAUUCAAGUAUAGCUAUUGCUGUUAUUGAGAAUUUACCAGACAGUGUUGGGGACAAAGAUCUAAUGUUUUUCCCCAUAAUAUUUGUCUAUUUGGCUAUGGUUGUUAUUAUCAAUAGUUUUGGUUGUUUUAUGACAAUCAAGGAAGAGGAAAAUGACAUUGAACAAGUUAUGGACACCCUUGAAGACAGAGUUGAUAGUGCGGACAAACUUACUUUAGCUAUUAAUCCCUUGGAGCGACUACAUGAUAUACCAAAUACAAAUGACUGCGUUAUGUUGCCAAUAGUACAGUGGUGUACGGCUGUAUGAGGUUACUCCAAGGUUCCAGCACUAUCCCCAUGCUCUUAAAGCUCCCACACUCUCACCAUGCUCUCAAAGCUCACACACCAUCACUAUGCUCCAAGGCUUCCACACUCUCACCAUGCUUCAAGACUCCCACUCUAACGGCGCCAUGCUCCAAGGCUCCCACAACAUCACCAUCACCAUGUUGCAAGGUGAUAAAAACAUUACCUAUUCGCGUGAGAAUCUUCGAUAUUUGUCAAGAGCACUUGACAGGUUUUGAUCUGAUUUUAAUCUGUUGAACAACCAGAUUCAAGCUUUGAAACCACCAAAUGAUCAUAAAUGUACGAUGGCCGAGGAGGGCCACUUCUGACUUCCGACUUCCGACUUCUGACUUCUGAGUUCCGACUUCUGACUUCCGACUUCCGACUUCUGACUUCUGAGUUCCGACUUCUGACUUCUGACUUCUGAGUUCCGACUUCUGACUUCUUAUGCCUUUCCAGCUAAACACGGCAGAUCCCAACCGAUUGCUUCGAUUCUGCAUUAAUUUUGCUUAUAACGUCUAAAUAUACCAUAAUUUUCUUAUCCAGAAUUUCCGAAUUCAUUAUUUUAUUUCAUUUUUCAAUAUUAUGUUGCCGUGUUUCCAACAGUAUUUUCAUUCUUUGGUAGCAAUACUUAUUUUUGAUAUCGUUAUUUUUGAUAAUUUAGUAUAAAAAAGACUAUGUUCAACGAGAUAUUCUCUACACCAAUUGCGAUUUCACUGUCUCAACGGUUUAAAUUUAGCUGUAGGGAACAAUUAAAUUGCAUAAUUAAAACUAAAAUUUAACAUUUACAUAACUUAUUUCUAAAAUUUAGCUCAAGUACUUUCCAAAAGUCCCGAAUUCCGACAGGCUGACUUCUAUACGAUGGCCGAGGAGGGCCACAUGGCCGAGGAGCCCCACUUCUGACUUCCGAGUUCCGACUUCCGACUUCUGAGUUCCGACUUCUGACUUCCGACUUCUGACUUCUGACUUCCGACUUCUGACUUCCGAGUUCCGACUUCUGAGUUCCGACUUCUGACUUCCGACUUCCGACUUCUGACUUCCGACUUCUGAGUUCCGACUUCCGACUUCCGACUUCUGACUUCUGACUUCCGACUUCCGACUUCUGACUUCUGAGUUCCGACUUCUGACUUCUGACUUCCGACUUCUGACUUCUGACUUCCGACUUCCGACUUCUGACUUCUGAGUUCCGACUUCCGACUUCUGACUUCUGAGUUCCGACUUCUGACUUCCGACUUCCGACUUCUGACUUCCGACUUCCGACUUCUGAGUUCCGACUUCCGACUUCCGACUUCUGACUUCUGACUUCCGACUUCUGAGUUCCGACUUCCGACUUCUGACUUCUGACUUCCGACUUCCGACUUCUGACUUCCGACUUCUGAGUUCGGACUUCUUUUACUCCAUUAUUUUGAACUCACAUAACUCGAACUCGUUGCUUUUUCGAAGUAAUUAUUUUUUCCUUUGAGACUUGACUCAUGAAACUUAGCCAACUAACUUAAGUUUGAAAUGGCGGGGUAAGCGGGCUUCUACUGUGGUGGAUAAUGAAAAUUUUGUCAAUUGACAAUAUCAAUUUGAUAAAUUCAGAUAUGUGAGGUUAAUGUUAUCGCCAAAAUAUAUAAAUUUCUUAUCCAUAUGAUUAUAUUGGUGAUUGUUUUUUUCUGGAU